This 911-nucleotide ribosomal RNA is filed under the name Meloidogyne incognita (southern root-knot nematode). RNAcentral's name for it is "SSU rRNA". It matches the Rfam family "Eukaryotic small subunit ribosomal RNA", at positions 39 to 966 of the family's 1831-position model. The record is from RNAcentral. Lineage: Eukaryota; Metazoa; Nematoda; Chromadorea; Rhabditida; Meloidogynidae.
AAAGAUUAAGCCAUGCAUGUAUAAGUUUAAUCGUUUAUCGAGAAACCGCGAACGGCUCAUUACAAUGGCCAUUAUUUACUUGAUCUUGAUUGUCUAAAUGGAUAACUGUGGAAAAGCUAGAGCUAAUACAUGCACUAAAGCUUUGUCCUUACGGAAAAGCGCAUUUAUUAGAACAAAACCACGCGGCUUCGGCUGCUUCUUGUUGACUCAGAAUAACUUAGCUGACCGCAUGGCCUUGUGCCGGCGGCGUGUCUUUCAAGCGUCCACUUUAUCAACUUGACGGGAGCAUAAUCGAUUCCCGUGGUGGUGACGGAUAACGGAGGAUCAGGGUUCGACUCCGGAGAAGGGGCCUGAGAAAUGGCCACUACGUCUAAGGAUGGCAGCAGGCGCGCAAAUUACCCACUCUCGGCUCGAGGAGGUAGUGACGAGAAAUAACGAGACUGUUCUCUUUGAGGCCGGUCAUCGGAAUGGGUACAAUUUAAACCCUUUAACGAGUAUCAAGCAGAGGGCAAGUCUGGUGCCAGCAGCCGCGGUAAUUCCAGCUCUGCAAAUACAUAGAAUUAUUGCUGCGGUUAGAAAGCUCAUAGUUGGAUUCGUAUCGAUACCUUGGAACCCUUCGGGUGUCUCUAGGUGUUAUCGAUUUAUCGUAAUGUUCGGUUUUGAGUCCUUAACAGGAUUCUUAACAGGCAUUGCAAGUUUACUUUGAACAAAUCAGAGUGCUUCAAACAGGCGUUUUCGCUUGAAUGAUCGUGCAUGGAAUAAUAGAAAAUGAUUUCGGUUCAGUUUUAUUGGUUUUACGGACUGAGAUAAUGGUUAACAGAGACAAACGGGGGCAUUUGUAUGGUCCCGUGAGAGGUGAAAUUCUUGGACCGUGGCCAGACAAACUACAGCGAAAGCAUUUGCCAAGAAUG